Lynx canadensis (Canada lynx) is the source of this 106-nucleotide long non-coding RNA. RefSeq lists it as uncharacterized. The record is from RefSeq and is a predicted model, not a curated record. NCBI's taxonomy places the organism in Eukaryota, Metazoa, Chordata, Mammalia, Carnivora, Felidae. The transcript has 4 exons.
UAGAGUGUAAGGCCAAAUAGGGGGGAAAAACGUCAAGAAAAUCUUAAAUUGCUUUCAGGAAUCCUGUCCUAUUCUUAGCUUUUUGAGAUUGGAAGAGCACACGCCU